UGCAACCUCCAGAGUUUUGGCAUUGACAGCAUUGAAAGUGGACAUUGUAGCCAAUUGUCUUGUUCCAUUGUUUGACAUGGAGGAAUUUGGGGUCAUGUUGAUAUUUUAGAUGUUGCAAACUAAUUACAUUUACUGACAGAGAAUAGAUCAGGGGCUAAUUGUGGGGGAUUGGGGAUUAGUUAUCAACAGCAGAAAAUAACACACGGGAAUAGUAAAUAUGUUUUGUUGACGAUGAUGGUGAUGAUAAUUACAAUUAUACAGUUAUUGUCCCUAAACCAAUAUGUUGCAUUUACUUAUUAGUCCAUCCUCUUGAAAACAAAACUAACAGUACUGCAUGUACAUGGAAAAUCUAACAGAAAACAAAUAUGAAUCUGAUAGAUGGUGGCAGAGGCUUUGUUUUUCCUUCUGCUUUUACUUAUUGCUUUUUAGUAAUUUGUAAUUUAGACAUCCUAAGAAUUGAUCCCAGCGCUGGUUCACAGCUGAGCGAUGUCCCAUUAGGACUGGUUGAUCCAGACGCACCACAUGAAGAUGAUGACCAGGGCAUAACAGGAGAUGAGCAGCAGAUAGAUGCGAAAGAGCAGGCUAAAGGAAACCAUGAGGAGGCAGCAGGGAAGGCCGCCACAGCCAAAAACCUACAAAGAACAAGGCAGGACCUGAAAAGUCAGCUGAAUGGGAAGAAGAAGACCGAGCAAUCAACAUAUACGCCCUGCCAGUCAUCAGUCUUUACACUAGGCGGAGCGAGAAACCGAGGGCUAAUAACAUCCAGUAUGUUCAAGGUCAGGGCACUGAACAGCUCAAAGUUGCAGACGGGGGCUGGACAUCCUCCGACCAUCGGUAGCAGAUGAGGUUGGCGAUGUAUUUGAGCACAACCACCCUUACCCAGUGGGGGACCUCUUGAUAUUUCAUGGAGCUGUGGUGGAGGACAUUGAAGGUGAUGAUGUCCAACUCGUCAACCCCAAACUGGAGGAUGGAGGUCUCCCCCAGUAUGUCCACCAGCUCCCACUCUCCACUGGCUUCCAGAUUGCUAAUCGAUGAACUCACCACCCCCAGGACAGCAUACAGAGUGAAGGAGAUGUUGGUUAUGGUGGGAUUGCUGAGGUUCACUGCUGGCCUGAAGGAUUGUAGGUCAAACACAGCCUGCAUGGAUUCAUAGGUUGGACCACUGUGGCCUUGUUUGCAGGACAGUUUACUAAAACAUAGAGACACUGACGAUAGAGAAAGUUUAUAAAACACUUUAUUUUUGCAUUUAUUACAUCUUAAUUGCACUUUUAAACAAUUAAACUUUCCCAUUAUCAAUGAAAAUGAAGAGCUGUUUUCUAAAUAUAAAGCUAUACUAAACAAUAAACAAAAUGCUGUACUUUUCA
Molecule: long non-coding RNA, 1364 nt
Organism: Micropterus dolomieu (smallmouth bass)
Lineage: Eukaryota; Metazoa; Chordata; Actinopteri; Centrarchiformes; Centrarchidae
Exons: 6
Source: RefSeq, a predicted model, not a curated record